GACGAACGCUGGCGGCGUGCUUAACACAUGCAAGUCGAACGGACAGGCCCUGCUUUUGUGGGGUGCUCGAGUGGCGAACGGGUGAGUAACACGUGAGUAACCUGCCCUUGACUUUGGGAUAACUUCAGGAAACUGGGGCUCAUACCGGAUAGGAGCUCCUGCUGCAUGGUGGGGGUUGGAAAGUUUCGGCGGUUGGAGAUGGACUCGCGGCAUAUCAGCUUGUUGGUGGGGUAGUGGCUUACCAAGGGUUUGACGGAUAGCCGGCCUGAGAGGGUGACCGGCCACAUGGGGACUGAGAGACGGACCAGAAUCCUACGGGAGGCAGCAGGGGGGAAUAUUGCAGAGUGAGCGGAAGCCUGAUGCGGAAACGCCGCGUGCGGAAUGACGGCCUUCGGGUUGUAAACCGAUUUCGCCUGUGACGAAGCGGGAGUGACGGUAAUGGGUAAAGAAGCACCGGCUAACUACGUG
RNAcentral lists this ribosomal RNA (468 nucleotides) under uncultured bacterium. RNAcentral's name for it is "partial 16S ribosomal RNA". It matches the Rfam family "Bacterial small subunit ribosomal RNA", at positions 28 to 507 of the family's 1533-position model. The record is from RNAcentral.